RNAcentral lists this transfer RNA (33 nucleotides) under Darcya costaricensis. RNAcentral describes it as "partial tRNA-Phe". The record is from RNAcentral. Lineage: Eukaryota; Viridiplantae; Streptophyta; Magnoliopsida; Lamiales; Plantaginaceae.
ACAUUGGUAAUGGUCGGGAUAGCUCAGCUGGDA